GACGAACGCUGGCGGCGUGCUUAACACAUGCAAGUCGAACGGAAAGGCCCUGCUUUUGUGGGGUGCUCGAGUGGCGAACGGGUGAGUAACACGUGAGUAACCUGCCCUUGACUUUGGGAUAACUUCAGGAAACUGGGGCUAAUACCGGAUAGGAGCUCCUGCUGCAUGGUGGGGGUUGGAAAGUUUCGGCGGUUGGGGAUGGACUCGCGGCUUAUCAGCUUGUUGGUGGGGUAGUGGCUUACCAAGGCUUUGACAGGUAGCCGGCCUGAGAGGGUGACCGGCCACAUUGGGACUGAGAUACGGCCCAGACUCCUACGGGAGGCAGCAGUGGGGAAUAUUGCACAAUGGGCGGAAGCCUGAUGCAGUAACGCCGCGUGCGGGAUGACGGCCUUCGGGUUGUAAACCGCUUUCGCCUGUGACGAAGCGUGAGUGACGGUAAUGGGUAAAGAAGCACCGGCUAACUACGUG
RNAcentral lists this ribosomal RNA (468 nucleotides) under uncultured bacterium. RNAcentral describes it as "partial 16S ribosomal RNA". It matches the Rfam family "Bacterial small subunit ribosomal RNA", at positions 28 to 507 of the family's 1533-position model. The record is from RNAcentral.